Small nuclear RNA from Sorex araneus (European shrew), 110 nucleotides. The record is from Ensembl. NCBI's taxonomy places the organism in Eukaryota, Metazoa, Chordata, Mammalia, Eulipotyphla, Soricidae.
GGGGUUAAGAUUUUGGCAUCACAAGAAUUAUAAUUGGAAUAAUAUAGAGAAGAUUAACAUGGUCCCUCUGUAAAGAUGGCAUGCAAAUUGAAGAAACAUUCCAUUACUCC